Molecule: ribosomal RNA, 450 nt
Filed under: uncultured bacterium
Lineage: Bacteria
Description: partial 16S ribosomal RNA
Rfam family: Bacterial small subunit ribosomal RNA
Source: RNAcentral
GUGGGGAAUUUUGGACAAUGGGCGCAAGCCUGAUCCAGCAAUGCCGCGUGCAGGAAGAAGGCCUUCGGGUUGUAAACUGCUUUUGUACGGAACGAAACGGUCCGGGUUAAUACCCUGGGCUAAUGACGGUACCGUAAGAAUAAGCACCGGCUAACUACGUGCCAGCAGCCGCGGUAAUACGUAGGGUGCAAGCGUUAAUCGGAAUUACUGGGCGUAAAGCGUGCGCAGGCGGUUUUGUAAGACAGGCGUGAAAUCCCCGGGCCCAACCUGGGAAUUGCGCUUGUGACUGAAAGGCUGGAGUGCGGCAGAGGGGGAUGGAAUUCCGCGUGUAGCAGUGAAAUGCGUAGAGAUGCGGAGGAACACCGAUGGCGAAGGCAGCCUCCUGGGAUAACACUGACGCUCAGGCACGAAAGCGUGGGGAGCAAACAGGAUUAGAUAUCCCGGUAGUCC